Molecule: transfer RNA, 68 nt
Filed under: Marmota monax (woodchuck)
Lineage: Eukaryota; Metazoa; Chordata; Mammalia; Rodentia; Sciuridae
Description: tRNA.Ala
Source: RNAcentral
GGACUGUAGCUCAUUGGUAAAAUGCUUGCCUUGCAUGCAUGAGGCACUGGGUUCAAUCCUCAGCACCA